AUUGCUCUGUCACCCAGGCUGAAGUGCAGUGGCAUAAUCACAGCUGACUGCAGCUGCAACCUCAACCUCCCCGGCCUCAAGUGAUCCUCCUGCCUCGACUUCUCAGGUAGCUGGGACUACAGGCACACACCACCACACCUAGCUAAUUUUUGGAUUUUUUGUAAAGAUGGGGUCUUCCUAUGUUGCCCCAGCAGGUCUUCAAGUCCUGGUGUCAAGCUAUCCUCCCGCCUCAGCCUCUCAAAGUGCUAGGAUUACUAGUUGUGAGCCACCAUGCCCAGUCGAAUGCUAGCUUCUGUGAUGCUCCUUUUGGCUUGUUAAACAUAACUGACCUUAGUCCUCCAGUUUUAUAUGAGAAGGAUACUUUUGAAGUCAAAUGCUAGUAUGAUGACUGAAGUGAGGAAAAGAUAUUGGAGCUGAAGAGAUUUACAUGAGUAGAACCGUUCCUAAUAUUACUUUAAACAGAAGAGUAAACAUUGAAUGAUGGGGCAGUGAAGUACACCCGUUGCAGUCUGUUCUAACUGGAUAGUCACAAAAACAACAGAGGAAAGGACACUCAGUUUGGUAUUUGGAGAAGAAAAGCCAGUACCUGAUAGUUUUAGCUCCCAUUAACAGGUACAUAUAAUAUUACCAAGUACAAAGCAGCAUCGUCUAAUGAAAUGAGACU
Molecule: long non-coding RNA, 664 nt
Filed under: Homo sapiens (human)
Lineage: Eukaryota; Metazoa; Chordata; Mammalia; Primates; Hominidae
Description: novel transcript
Source: RNAcentral